RNAcentral lists this microRNA precursor (78 nucleotides) under Sarcophilus harrisii (Tasmanian devil). Its description in RNAcentral is "mir-144 microRNA precursor family". It matches the Rfam family "mir-144 microRNA precursor family". Lineage: Eukaryota; Metazoa; Chordata; Mammalia; Dasyuromorphia; Dasyuridae. The record is from Rfam by way of RNAcentral.
ACCCUGGCCAGGAUAUCAUCAUAUACUGUAAGUUUGCAAUGAGACACUACAGUAUAGAUGAUGUACUGGACGGGCCGC